UGUUGUCUGUGUAUAUAUGUAUUACC
Molecule: non-coding RNA, 26 nt
Filed under: Rattus norvegicus (Norway rat)
Lineage: Eukaryota; Metazoa; Chordata; Mammalia; Rodentia; Muridae
Source: RNAcentral